UACGUAGGGUGCAAGCGUUGUCCGGAAUUACUGGGCGUAAAGGGCGCGCAGGCGGCUUACCAAGUCAGAUGUGAAAUAACCGGGCUUAACCUGGAAGGGUCAUUUGAAACUGGUAGGCUAGAGUACAGCAGAGGUUAGCGGAAUUCCCGGUGUAGUGGUGAAAUGCGUAGAUAUCGGGAGGAACACCAGAGGCGAAGGCGGCUAACUGGGCUUGUACUGACGCUGAGGCGCGAAGGCUAGGGGAGCAAACAGG
This 253-nucleotide ribosomal RNA is filed under the name uncultured bacterium. RNAcentral's name for it is "partial 16S ribosomal RNA". It matches the Rfam family "Bacterial small subunit ribosomal RNA", at positions 524 to 776 of the family's 1533-position model. The record is from RNAcentral.